AAUAGAUACCCGGUAGUCCACGCCGUAAACGAUGAGUGCUAAGUGUUAGAGGGUUUCCGCCCUUUAGUGCUGCAGCUAACGCAUUAAGCACUCCGCCUGGGGAGUACGGUCGCAAGACUGAAACUCAAAGGAAUUGACGGGGGCCCGCACAAGCGGUGGAGCAUGUGGUUUAAUUCGAAGCAACGCGAAGAACCUUACCAGGUCUUGACAUCCCACUGACCGGUAUAGAGAUAUACCUUUCCCUUCGGGGACAGUGGUGACAGGUGGUGCAUGGUUGUCGUCAGCUCGUGUCGUGAGAUGUUGGGUUAAGUCCCGCAACGAGCGCAACCCUUGAUCUUAGUUGCCAGCAUUUAGUUGGGCACUCUAAGGUGACUGCCGGUGACAAACCGGAGGAAGGUGGGGAUGACGUCAAAUCAUCAUGCCCCUUAUGACCUGGGCUACACACGUGCUACAAUGGAUGGUACAAAGGGCUGCAAGACUGCGAAGUCAAGCCAAUCCCAUAAAACCAUUCUCAGUUCGGAUUGCAGG
This 528-nucleotide ribosomal RNA is filed under the name uncultured bacterium. Its description in RNAcentral is "bacterial SSU rRNA". It matches the Rfam family "Bacterial small subunit ribosomal RNA", at positions 777 to 1304 of the family's 1533-position model. The record is from RNAcentral.